RNAcentral lists this ribosomal RNA (924 nucleotides) under Plectus acuminatus. RNAcentral's name for it is "16S ribosomal RNA". The stretch from base 584 to 924 matches the Rfam family "Archaeal large subunit ribosomal RNA", at positions 2147 to 2770 of the family's 2987-position model. The record is from RNAcentral. Lineage: Eukaryota; Metazoa; Nematoda; Chromadorea; Plectida; Plectidae.
UAUUUUUAUUUUUGUUAAUAUUAGGUAUUGCAUACCGUUUUAGGAAAAUGACAAUUAUUUUGUACUAUAGAAUUAAAAGGAGGACUUUGACCAAGAUUUGAUGUUGCAUCAUUCUAAUAUAAGUUAAAGUAGUGCUGAUAAAUCGUCUUUUAAGAUAUCUGUUUCUUUAAAUUUAUUGGAAUCUUAUAAUAUUAUAACUUAAGAGUGGUUGCUUAUCCUCUGCAAUAGGGAGAAUAAUGGUGUACUAACAUUUACUCAUUUAUAAUUUUAUUAAAUUGUGAAACUAAAUUAAUUUAUUUAGUUAUUUUAUCUAAAAAUUAGUAACUAUAUCGUUUAUUAUAUAAAAGGUUAAAAUUUAUAAAGUGAAAUCAAUAUUUUCCGGGUUACUGUUUUUUAAAGACUCAGUCUAUCAUUUGAUAGAUCGCUCCUGCUCAAUGAAUUAAAUUAAAUAGCGUUCUUAUACCUGAGGAGCACAAUGUAGCGCAAUCACUUGUUUCUUAAUUGGAUUCACGUAUCAAUGGAGGUAGAAACCCGAUGCUCUGCUUUAUUUUUAGUGAACUUUAGUUGGUUUAAAAAUUAACUAGUUAAAUUUAACAAAGAUAAGCCUUCGGAAACUUUAUUAGAAAAUUUACAUUUAUCUUUUCUUAGACACCUGGGGUAGGCUUUUAUGCAAUUCAAUAAUCUUUAAUACGUUUAAAAGUUACUCCGGAGCUAACAGAAUAACGAUUCUUUCCCAGCACUUAUGGGAUAGACAAGUUUUACAUCGAUGUUGUAUCCUACGACGGCAGAAAGGAUAAGCUUUGCCAGAAGAGUUUGUUCACCUUUAGUAGUAGACGUGAUAUUAGUUUAGUUCGUCGUGAGGCAGAACGGAUUAUCUUGUAAAUUUAAUAUUUUAAAAUACCUUCAGUACGGGAGGAACUUGGU